AAGUCGUAACAAGGUUUCCGUAGGUGAACCUGCGGAAGGAUCAUUAUCGAUUCAACGAAGUGCCUGUGAGUUGUGCUGGCCUCUCUCGGGGCAUGUGCACGCUUCAUGGGUCUUCACACAUCCACACCUGUGAACCAAUUGUAGGUCUUUCGGGACCUAUGUCUUCUCAUAACACACUGUAUGUCUAGAAUGUCAUUAUGAUUAUCGUCUGCUUCCUUUGUGGAGUUGGGCUGAUAAGAUAAACAAUAUACAACUUUCAGCAACGGAUCUCUUGGCUCUC
This 280-nucleotide unclassified non-coding RNA is filed under the name Serpula himantioides. RNAcentral's name for it is "partial internal transcribed spacer region". The stretch from base 1 to 46 matches the Rfam family "Eukaryotic small subunit ribosomal RNA", at positions 1786 to 1831 of the family's 1831-position model. Lineage: Eukaryota; Fungi; Basidiomycota; Agaricomycetes; Boletales; Serpulaceae. RNAcentral also lists the same sequence under 1 other name. The record is from RNAcentral.